Molecule: ribosomal RNA, 945 nt
Filed under: Pholiota sp. PDD 103884
Lineage: Eukaryota; Fungi; Basidiomycota; Agaricomycetes; Agaricales; Strophariaceae
Description: eukaryotic LSU rRNA
Rfam family: Eukaryotic large subunit ribosomal RNA
Source: RNAcentral
UAAGCAUAUCAAUAAGCGGAGGAAAAGAAACUAACAAGGAUUCCCCUAGUAACUGCGAGUGAAGCGGGAAAAGCUCAAAUUUAAAAUCUGGCGGUCUUUGGCUGUCCGAGUUGUAAUCUAGAGAAGUGUUAUCCGUGCUGGACCGUGUACAAGUCUCCUGGAAUGGAGCGUCAUAGAGGGUGAGAAUCCCGUCUUUGACACGGACUGCCAGGACUUUGUGAUGCGCUCUCAAAGAGUCGAGUUGUUUGGGAAUGCAGCUCAAAAUGGGUGGUAAAUUCCAUCUAAAGCUAAAUAUUGGCGAGAGACCGAUAGCGAACAAGUACCGUGAGGGAAAGAUGAAAAGAACUUUGGAAAGAGAGUUAAACAGUACGUGAAAUUGCUGAAAGGGAAACGCUUGAAGUCAGUCGUGUUAUCUGGGAAUCAACCUUGCUUUUGCUGGGCGUACUUUCCAGAUGAUAGGCCAGCAUCAAUUUUGACCGUUGGAUAAAGAUUGGAGGAAUGUGGCAUCUUCGGAUGUGUUAUAGCCUUUAGUUGCAUACAACGAUUGGGAUUGAGGAACUCAGCACGCCGCAAGGCUGGGUACUUGUACCACAUUCGUGCUUAGGAUGCUGGCAUAAUGGCUUUAAUCGACCCGUCUUGAAACACGGACCAAGGAGUCUAACAUGCCUGCGAGUAUUUGGGUGGAAAACCCGAGUGCGUAAUGAAAGUGAAAGUUGAGAUCCUUGUCAUGGGGAGCAUCGACGCCCGGACCAGACCUUUUGUGACGGAUCUGCGGUAGAGCAUGUAUGUUGGGACCCGAAAGAUGGUGAACUAUGCCUGAAUAGGGUGAAGCCAGAGGAAACUCUGGUGGAGGCUCGUAGCGAUUCUGACGUGCAAAUCGAUCGUCAAAUUUGGGUAUAGGGGCGAAAGACUAAUCGAACCAUCUAGUAAGCUGGUUCCUGCCGA